GAUAGCUUUGUUGGUUAGAGCAUAGUGCUGAUAACACCAAGGUUGCAGGUUCGAUACCUGUAUGGGAAAGCU
This is a non-coding RNA of Podarcis lilfordi (Lilford's wall lizard), 72 nucleotides long. The record is from the annotation of a GenBank genome assembly. Lineage: Eukaryota; Metazoa; Chordata; Lepidosauria; Squamata; Lacertidae.